Molecule: long non-coding RNA, 286 nt
Filed under: Populus trichocarpa (black cottonwood)
Lineage: Eukaryota; Viridiplantae; Streptophyta; Magnoliopsida; Malpighiales; Salicaceae
Description: long non-coding RNA (PTRI_LNC002527)
Source: RNAcentral
GAUUGCGAGGAGUAUACCGCAAGUUUCUCUUUCUAUGUAAUCAGUGGCAGUUAUCUCUCCCAUAGUCCACAUGGUGGUAGAGACUUUUGGAGCCACUUUGAAGCAUCUCAGCUGAAGGAGGAUGCGACCGCCUAUGAAAGGCGAAGACACCUUAGAUGGAAGGUGUGAGGGCCAUGAGAGGAGCCCCAAAUCAGACCGCCCCAUGACAACGGGCGAAGACACCUUGGAGAAGGUGUGAGGGCCAUGAUAGGAGCCCCAGUUCAGACCGCCCCACGACAACAGGCGA